This 159-nucleotide ribosomal RNA is filed under the name Axonopus siccus. RNAcentral's name for it is "5.8S ribosomal RNA". It matches the Rfam family "5.8S ribosomal RNA". Rfam says of the family: 5.8S ribosomal RNA (5.8S rRNA) is a component of the large subunit of the eukaryotic ribosome. It is transcribed by RNA polymerase I as part of the 45S precursor that also contains 18S and 28S rRNA. Lineage: Eukaryota; Viridiplantae; Streptophyta; Magnoliopsida; Poales; Poaceae. RNAcentral also lists the same sequence under 3 other names. The record is from RNAcentral.
CUCUCGGCAACGGAUAUCUCGGCUCUCGCAUCGAUGAAGAACGUAGCAAAAUGCGAUACCUGGUGUGAAUUGCAGAAUCCCGCGAACCAUCGAGUUUUUGAACGCAAGUUGCGCCCGAGGCCUUCGGGUCGAGGGCACGUCUGCCUGGGCGUCACGCCA